UCACUACUUGCGUAGGCAGUCCACCUAGAGUGCCCAGCAUUACCUGAUGGCAACUAAGUGUAGGGGUUGCGCUCGUUGCAGGACUUAACCUAACACCUCACGGCACGAGCUGACGACAGCCAUGCAGCACCUGUACAAGAACGUAUUGCUACGAGGCCGACUUUCAUCGACUGUCUCUUGCCUUUCAAACCCAAGUAAGGUUCUUCGCGUUGCAUCGAAUUAAACCACAUGCUCCACUGCUUGUGCGGGCCCCCGUCAAUUCCUUUGAGUUUCAACCUUGCGAUCGUACUCCCCAGGUGGGUUGUUUAACGCGUUAGCUCAGGCACCGAAUCUUACGACCCGACACCGAACAACCAUCGUUUAAGGCGUGGACUAC
Molecule: unclassified non-coding RNA, 376 nt
Filed under: uncultured Ignavibacteria bacterium
Lineage: Bacteria; Pseudomonadati; Ignavibacteriota; Ignavibacteria
Description: contains 16S-23S intergenic spacer region
Source: RNAcentral